Molecule: long non-coding RNA, 281 nt
Filed under: Panax ginseng (ginseng)
Lineage: Eukaryota; Viridiplantae; Streptophyta; Magnoliopsida; Apiales; Araliaceae
Description: long non-coding RNA (PGIN_LNC004027)
Source: RNAcentral
UUGCCAAUGAUGAGACUGGAAUUGAGUAAACAGGUAUAGUACUGAUUAUUAGAGCUUUGAUGUGAUUUCUUGUUAUGAAUCGAAUUUUUUUCUGUUUGAAACUGGUAUAAAAACGAUAGCACGUUAGAGACAACUAUGUUGACUGAUUAAGUUUAAAUUGGUAUAUAAUGGACUUCUUAAGGAUGAUACUGGUUUGAAUGAAAGGAAGACAUGAACAGGUAGAGAUGGCUAAAUUUAGAAAAAAACUUAAGUUUGGGGAAAAUAUUUGGGAUAUAUAAGCU